This 577-nucleotide ribosomal RNA is filed under the name uncultured Ehrlichia sp. RNAcentral's name for it is "bacterial SSU rRNA". It matches the Rfam family "Bacterial small subunit ribosomal RNA", at positions 53 to 653 of the family's 1533-position model. Lineage: Bacteria; Pseudomonadati; Pseudomonadota; Alphaproteobacteria; Rickettsiales; Anaplasmataceae. The record is from RNAcentral.
ACAUGCAAGUCGAACGGACAAUUAUUUAUAGCUUUUGGCUAUAGGCAAUUGUUAGUGGCAGACGGGUGAGUAAUGCGUAGGAAUCUACCUAGUAGUACGGAAUAGCCAUUAGAAAUGAUGGGUAAUACUGUAUAAUCCCCGCGGGGGAAAGAUUUAUCGCUAUUAGAUGAGCCUACGUUAGAUUAGCUAGUUGGUAAGGUAAUGGCUUACCAAGGCUAUGAUCUAUAGCUGGUCUGAGAGGACGAUCAGCCACACUGGAACUGAGAUACGGUCCAGACUCCUACGGGAGGCAGCAGUGGGGAAUAUUGGACAAUGGGCGAAAGCCUGAUCCAGCUAUGCCGCGUGAGUGAAGAAGGCCUUCGGGUUGUAAAACUCUUUCAAUAGGGAAGAUAAUGACGGUACCUAUAGAAGAAGUCCCGGCAAACUCUGUGCCAGCAGCCGCGGUAAUACGGAGGGGGCAAGCGUUGUUCGGAAUUAUUGGGCGUAAAGGGCACGUAGGUGGACUAGUAAGUUAAAAGUGAAAUACCAAAGCUUAACUUUGGAGCGGCUUUUAAUACUGCUAGACUAGAGGUCGAAA